UAACUUAUGAGCGUGAAAUGGGGUCUGGCAUUUCUUCUGUUUAAAAUCUGGCUAAGCUGAGCAGAGAAAAGCAACGCAGGAGAGGAGAAAUGAAAUCAGCAAUGGAAGUAUCAACUUCAACCAAGAAGGUGAGCAGCAAACCCCCUUUCAGACCUGCUAAAGAUGACACCAAGCCACUUCUCCAAGACCCAAUAUUGAGGUCAGACCCCAUUGAGACUGAGGAAGCUGUGCUCAGAUUGCCCCCCUUUCCAGUCGCCAAACCCAAA
Molecule: long non-coding RNA, 266 nt
Organism: Ipomoea triloba (trilobed morning glory)
Lineage: Eukaryota; Viridiplantae; Streptophyta; Magnoliopsida; Solanales; Convolvulaceae
Exons: 2
Source: RefSeq, a predicted model, not a curated record